This is a long non-coding RNA of Culex quinquefasciatus (southern house mosquito), 569 nucleotides long. RefSeq lists it as uncharacterized. The transcript has 4 exons. The record is from RefSeq and is a predicted model, not a curated record. NCBI's taxonomy places the organism in Eukaryota, Metazoa, Arthropoda, Insecta, Diptera, Culicidae.
CGCAGAUCAUCAUCAGUCACUGGUUAAGCAUCAAAGAGACCGCCUCGAUCGUCGACCCGUCAAGUGUUCCGCCAGACGAUUGGCCAGCAGAAGUUUAGCUAAUUGUGUUUUCUUGUGGUGAAAACCGUCUCACCAGUGAUAAGUAUCGGCGUGGAAAAUUAACCGCACUGGAGUGCGAGGUGCCGCGAUACCGAAAAUUGGUCGCGGUGGAGAGUGAGGUGGCGUCUACUAUCAGCAUGGAAAGCAUGGCCAUGCUGGAGUAGUUGGAUAAUUUGAGAUCGGCCUUCAUUUCCUGUUUCGCAAGCUAAAUUCCAUCAUGGCUGGAGCCGUGGUGUGGAGCAGUGCGCUGCUGUGCAUUCCUGCCGACUGGACGGCGGGGCAAAUGCACCGGAUGGCCGGCGUUCUCGCCGGUGACCAAGCUGGGUUCUGCCCGGGCAGCAACGUUGUUCCGGAUCGUCGAGGGAUACACGGGGGUCACACACACACACACACAGGUUUACACCCGCAACUCUAGUUUUAAGGACGCCAACUAGGUUUAGUUCGCCAAUAUAGAUGUAAGUACGCUAAAA